Molecule: small nucleolar RNA, 115 nt
Organism: Capra hircus (goat)
Lineage: Eukaryota; Metazoa; Chordata; Mammalia; Artiodactyla; Bovidae
Source: Ensembl
UUGCUAGCUUUCAACCUCAGUGCUUUCCUGCGAUGCUUGCUAGAAUGUUCUGAAAUGGCUUGAGGCCUUGACCCAUGCCUUACUUGAAGCAUGGUCAUAGACAUUUCAGAUGGUU